AAUCUGGCCCUCGGGUCCGAGUUGUAAUUUGUAGAGGAUGCUUUUGGCGCGGUGCCUUCCGAGUUCCCUGGAACGGGACGCCUUAGAGGGUGAGAGCCCCGUACGGUUGGACACCAAGCCUCUGUAAAGCUCCUUCGACGAGUCGAGUAGUUUGGGAAUGCUGCUCUAAAUGGGAGGUAAAUUUCUUCUAAAGCUAAAUAUUGGCCAGAGACCGAUAGCGCACAAGUAGAGUGAUCGAAAGAUGAAAAGCACUUUGAAAAGAGGGUUAAACAGCACGUGAAAUUGUUGAAAGGGAAGCGUUUGCGACCAGACCUCUCCCCGGCGGAUCAUCCGGCGUUCUCGCCGGUGCACUCCGCCGGGCUGAGGCCAGCAUCGGUUUCCGCGGGGGGACAAAAGCGGGGGGAACGUAGCUCCCUCGGGAGUGUUAUAGCCCUCCGCAUAAUACCCUCGCGGGGACCGAGGACCGCGCUUCGGCAAGGAUGCUGGCGUAAUGGUCGUCAACGACCCGUCUUGAAACACGGACCAAGGAGUCGAACAUUUGUGCGAGUGUUUGGGUGUCAAACCCUCACGCGUAAUGAAGGUGAACGUAGGUGAGAGCCCUCACGGGCGCAUCAUCGACCGAUCCUGAUGUCUUCGGAUGGAUUUGAGUAAGAGCAUAACUGUUCGGACCCGAAAGAUGGUGAACUAUGCGUGGAUAGAGCGGUUCUGACGUGCAAAUCGAUCGUCAAAUCUGCGCAUGGGGGCGAAAG
RNAcentral lists this ribosomal RNA (749 nucleotides) under Rosellinia chiangmaiensis. RNAcentral's name for it is "eukaryotic LSU rRNA". It matches the Rfam family "Eukaryotic large subunit ribosomal RNA", at positions 119 to 929 of the family's 3401-position model. The record is from RNAcentral. Lineage: Eukaryota; Fungi; Ascomycota; Sordariomycetes; Xylariales; Xylariaceae.